Haliotis rubra (blacklip abalone) is the source of this 380-nucleotide long non-coding RNA. RefSeq lists it as uncharacterized. The record is from RefSeq and is a predicted model, not a curated record. The transcript has 4 exons. Lineage: Eukaryota; Metazoa; Mollusca; Gastropoda; Lepetellida; Haliotidae.
AUAAGCUCGCCCACGUUGUAUUCUCGGGAAAUACUCGUCUCGGCUAGACUGCAGAAAUAUCUGAUCACGAUAUGUGGAGAAAGAGACUUCGGCUUGUUGGAGUGUGACAACGGAGGGCUUGAAGUUACGAAGUGCAGGCGUUUUGCUUGGAUAUGAGGACUACUGCUUCCAUUUGAGGGCCGAUGUGAAUGGACGCGAGGUAAAGCAGCAACUUCCGCAAUGUGGCUACUUGCAGUUUUGCUGGGGAUCACUUUACCGGUGCAUAGCGAUGAGCAAUGCUCCUGGGGAAUAUAUGGCGAGAACUGCGACAGGACCUGCCCCUCCAACUGUUACCCUGACCCACGGAGAAACCUCAGACACUGUCAGAAGUACACAGGGAA